RNAcentral lists this ribosomal RNA (358 nucleotides) under uncultured bacterium. Its description in RNAcentral is "partial 16S ribosomal RNA". It matches the Rfam family "Bacterial small subunit ribosomal RNA", at positions 338 to 693 of the family's 1533-position model. The record is from RNAcentral.
CCUACGGGAGGCAGCAGUGAGGAAUAUUGGUCAAUGGGCGCAAGCCUGAACCAGCCAAGUAGCGUGAAGGAUGACUGCCCUACGGGUUGUAAACUUCUUUUAUAAAGGAAUAAAGUGAGGCACGUGUACCUCUUUGUAUGUACCUUAUGAAUAAGGAUCGGCUAACUCCGUGCCAGCAGCCGCGGUAAUACGGAGGAUCCGAGCGUUAUCCGGAUUUAUUUGGGUUAAAGGGAGCGUAGGUGGGUUGUUAAGUCAGCUGUGAAAGUUUGCGGCUCAACCGUGGACUUGCAAUUGAAACUGGGAGCGUUGAGGGCAGUUGAGGGAGGCGGGAAUCGUGGUGGAGCGGUGAAAUGCUUAG